This 683-nucleotide long non-coding RNA is filed under the name Mytilus galloprovincialis (Mediterranean mussel). Lineage: Eukaryota; Metazoa; Mollusca; Bivalvia; Mytilida; Mytilidae. The record is from RNAcentral.
CAUACGUCUACUUUGAAUCGAGUUACAUCGGAAUAUGUAAUAAAAAAUGGGGGUCACCAUUUUUGUUUUUUUGUAAUUUUCAUAGGAAAACGUCAAUUUUGGCGACAAAUUUACUUAGGUAUAUAGGGGAAAUGCCUUUUUUUCAGCUUACCUUUUUAGAUUUUCGAAUGGAUGGCUAUUUUCUUAUAUACGGAGAAAAACAAAAAACUAACAUAAUAUCCAGGAUUGCAUAGUGAAUCCAUACACGUAUAGAAACUCAUAUGUCACCAUCCUUGUUUUUGAAAUAAAUGGCUUCAAAGUUGAUCGAUAGGCCUAGAACUUGACCAAAAACGUGUGACGUUAUGGUGUACGGAAUAUAACGUUAUUCCUUCUCAGAGAAAUGGAGAGAAAAAUAUGUGUCGGGAUCUGAAUGAGUAUAUUUUAUUUUCAUUUCCCUUGUCGACUGUCGUAAAGUUCCUAGUAAUGCAAUAUAAAAUUCUACUGAAUCAAAUAUAAUUUUAUUUCAUCCUGCACAAGGAAUUUCACUCAUAUGAAUUAAUAUUAAUAUCGUCUGAUUUUCACAUCAAACGAGCAUAUACUUGAAACUUGCGUGAACAGGUUCCAUGUGAAUCUUAAUUUAUGAUAAUAGUUCAUGCAUAAAUCACCGGAACUUUUUACACGCUAAGUUCACGUAAAUAUUUGAA